Molecule: non-coding RNA, 471 nt
Filed under: Solanum lycopersicum (tomato)
Lineage: Eukaryota; Viridiplantae; Streptophyta; Magnoliopsida; Solanales; Solanaceae
Description: Bacterial large subunit ribosomal RNA
Rfam family: Bacterial large subunit ribosomal RNA
Source: Rfam by way of RNAcentral
GUCUGUGAAGAUGCGGACUUCCUGAACCUGGACAGAAAGACGCUAUGAAGCUUCACUGUUCCAUGGGAUAGCUUUGGGCCUUUCCUGCGCAGCUUAGGUGGAGCCUUCCGCGGGGGGGGGGGGGGGGGGGGGGGGGAGCCAUCAGUGAGACCACUCUGCAAGGGCUAGAAUUCUAACCUUGUGUCAAGACCUAGGGGCCAAGGGACAGUCUCAGGCAGACAGUUCCUAUGGGGCGUUUCCUCGGGGCCAGACGAAGAUUAGACCUCGAGUACAAAGGCAGAAGGAAGCUUGACUGCAAGAGCCACCCGUCGAGCAGGGACGAAAGUCGGCUGUAGUGAUUUGACGGUGCCGUGUGGAAGGACCGUCGCUCAACAGAUAAAAGUUACUCAAGGAUAACAAGUUGAUCUUCCCAAGAGCUCAGGAUUUAUGUGUGAUUGGGGACAACAAGCAUGCUACCUUUUUUAAUUCAUU